GACGAACGCUGGCGGCGUGGAUUAGGCAUGCAAGUCGAACGGUAUCAUCCUUUCGGGGGUGAGAGAGUGGCGAACUGGUGAGUAACACGUAGGUUAUCUACCCUCAAGACGGGGGACAACCCAGGGAAACUUGGGCUAAUACCGGAUGUGAGCAACUUUUAGUUGUUUGAAAGGUGGCGUAAGCUGUCGCUUGGGGAUGAGCCUGCGUCCUAUUAGUUAGUUGGUGAGGUAACGGCUCACCUAGGCAAUGAUAGGUAGGCGGCCUUAACGGGUGGUCGCCCACACUGGGAUUGAGAUACGGCCCAGACUCCUACGGGAGGCAGCAGUCGAGAAUAGUCUACAAUGGUCGGAAGACUGAUAGUGCGACGCCGCGUGAACGAUGGAUCCCUUCGGGGUGUAAAGUUCUUUUAUAUGUGAGCAGUGCUUCUUAUAUUAACAGUAUGGGGAGAGAGAUAUUAGCAUAUGAAUAAGCAACGGCUAACUCCGUGCCAGCAGCCGCGGUAAGA
RNAcentral lists this ribosomal RNA (506 nucleotides) under uncultured bacterium. Its description in RNAcentral is "bacterial SSU rRNA". It matches the Rfam family "Bacterial small subunit ribosomal RNA", at positions 28 to 525 of the family's 1533-position model. The record is from RNAcentral.